GAUGAACGCUGGCGGCGUGCCUAACACAUGCAAGUCGAACGGAACUUACCGAAUGAAGCUUUCGGGUGGAUUUUGAUAAGUUUAGUGGCGAACGGGUGAGUAACGCGUGAGUAACCUGCCCUGGAGUGGGGGACAACAGUUGGAAACGACUGCUAAUACCGCAUAAGCCCACAGCUCGGCAUCGAGCAGAGGGAAAAGGAGUGAUCCGCUUUGAGAUGGCCUCGCGUCCGAUUAGCUGGUUGGUGAGGUAACGGCCCACCAAGGCGACGAUCGGUAGCCGGACUGAGAGGUUGAACGGCCACAUUGGGACUGAGACACGGCCCAG
This 325-nucleotide ribosomal RNA is filed under the name uncultured bacterium. RNAcentral describes it as "bacterial SSU rRNA". It matches the Rfam family "Bacterial small subunit ribosomal RNA", at positions 28 to 334 of the family's 1533-position model. The record is from RNAcentral.